AGAUGUUGGGCAAGGAGAUGCUAUUCUUAUUCGUGCUAAGGAUCAGAUAGUGCUUGUUGAUACAGGCGAUGUCCC
Molecule: transfer RNA, 75 nt
Filed under: Sporomusa silvacetica DSM 10669
Lineage: Bacteria; Bacillati; Bacillota; Negativicutes; Selenomonadales; Sporomusaceae
Description: tRNA-Thr
Source: RNAcentral